CGUGUGUCCAAGCAAUGCUAAUGCCGGGGUCCCCUUUCUCAGAAAAUCGCCAAGGCUCGGCGGCGCGUUUUGCGGACCGCAACGGUUCAGAUAUGGUAUGGAGUUUUGUCUGCAGUCACCAAGAGAACUGGCAUGUAGUGGAACAAAUAAGAGAAGAAUGCCGGAAACAGUCUGUGUGUGAUGGAGAGGAGAUCUCAAUUGCCAAUGAUAAGUAAUAGUGUUUAACAUCUGGUGUUUGAGGUUUGUUACAGAAGUUAGAUACAGUACAGUAGUAGAUUUGCUCAAGGGGUUUACAGUUGACUUCUUGGCAUUAUGGGUGUGUAUUAUUCCCAAGGGAAAAUAAUACCUUUCCUACCUCCCUGUUCUACAAACCUGCAUGAAUAUAAGGCUAUACCCUAGACAUGUGUUGGUUUCAACUAUAGAGGCAUUUAAGUAUUUUUCCAUUGUCAGCCAGAGUGUCUGAAAAUGUUCCUACUUUUUGACAUCAUAGUCAUUUAGCAGACACUCUUAUCCACACCAGUGAACAGUGACCUGACUGACAAACAGCUGGAUGAUUGGUCAGGCAGCUUGUGUUGUUGUAUUGUGAGUCGUGUCUUGUUGGCUGUGAUCCCAUCUCCACACUAGAGCUUUAUUUAUUUAUUCUGGUCCAGCAGAAGGAUCUCUGACUGUGAUUUUAUCAGCUCACCAAUGUUUUUUCCUUCAAUUUUAACGCUUUCAACGGCUUUUCUUGCAUCACAAGAAUGUUAUUUUUCCAUUAAUUUAGGGUCAAAUCCUUACUUGACCUCUGUGUGUUAAACUAACAUUGGAUUGAUGUCAAUGCCUAAUGCACGGGAAAAUCAGUUAUGUUGAAUACUGUAUUCACACUACAAAAACAUUUCAUCAGAUUUGUGAUCUCUUUCUCUCUAUCCCUCUCCCUCUCUGUGUUUUGUUUGAGUUGGAGGUCUGUCUUCAGAGAGGGAUAGACCAUUUCUGUUUUGUCAUGAGUGGAUUAUGCCUGUGAUGAGACAGUGAGGGGAUUGAGGGAAGAAGCCACUGGCCUGGCCUGCCCUUGUCAUAAGGUGUGUGUGUGAGUGAGACACCAGAAGUGACACCCACAAGAAUAGUAAACAAACAAAACAUUUACCAACUGGGAACAUUUUGUUUGUCCUCACAGGGUCAAAUGCUAUUUCUAAGGGUGUUAAGGUUAGAAUUAGGGUUCAGGGUUAAUGUUAGGUUUUUGGGUUCAUGUUAGCGUAAGAGUAUGAGUUAAGGUUUAGGGAAAAUAGGAUGUUGAUGUUGGGAUUGAAUUGUGUCCCCACAAGGUUACUGAGAGAGUGUGAGGAUCUGUGUUUAUUGCACAAUAACCCAAUACUAUAUCACAUGUGAUAUAAUAUUAGCAACUGUUGGCCUGGGCGCCUGGGUGUCUGUGUGUGUGUGUGUGUGUGUGUGCUGAAAGUAACAUUUUGCCCCAGAUAGUGUGCUGAGAAGCUGUGGUUAACCUUGAGCGAGAACAGUAUGCUUUCUAUCCAGGUGCAAAUAGCUCAAACAAUGUUACAGAACUGUCUGACCUCAGUCUCCAGGGUGUGGGAGCGUAAUCUACACAGCAACAGCGCCGGACACCAAGGAGCGCCAAGAGGCUGGGACCAGCCUGAGCGCCGGCGAUAGGCUGAGCAAAGUUUAAACCACGCUCAGCCUCUACUGUGAUAGGCCAACAGACGGGUUGGAACUACUUCUAUCACGGUAUAAGAACAGCUGUUUACUUACAUCCUGCCAGUUCUCUGUUCUGCCCUGCGAGGUGAUACAGAGAACCCGUAUAUACGAAAAUUGCAUUUACCAUUUAUCGCUUGAGUUUAAUAAAAAUACUUAAAGUAUAUUCGGUGACUCUGAAUCACAUUUUGUCCUGAUACCAGAUUUGAAUUGACGCAAAUCCCUUAUAUAGUGACCCCGACAGUGAUCUGGUGAAGGACUUCUCUGGGCAUUGGCGUGCCAGGCAAUUGACCAUUGCUGUCGUCAGACGGGUGUGUCUCACAACUCCAAACCGGUCAACUAAAAAGGUAAGCAGACACCUAUUGUAAAAAACUAAAGUUCUGCACAUUGGCAUUAUCCAAAUUUAGUUUUGUGAGGCACUUGUUUGAUGUAAGUAACCAAAUGUUAUUAGUUUAUAUUGGUAAAAAACAUAAGGAAUACAUAGUGGUGAAUGCAAUUUUGAAUGGCCAAGUAUUCAAUGAUAUGACAGUGAAUGCAAUGUACUAGGUAGACCAGAAGUUCUACUUGAUGUGUGUGUAGGCCAGAAGUUCUACUGAUAUGUGUGAGGGUGGGUCGAAGAACCUACUAGGGUGAGUGUGGAUGAACGGCAAUAUAACGUGUAUGUAAUGUAUUAGGUGGGUCGGCGUACCUACUGGUUUGUGUGUGAGUAAGUUAAUAAACUUGCUGAGCGAAUGAAGGUUGAUUAUAGAAUCAAUCGAGUGAGUGUAAUACAUUAGCCAUUGGUGGGCGUACUGAUGGCGGUUUGAGUGAAUAGUAAUCCAGGCCAGAAGUUCUGUUUUAUACUAUUACAGGCCAGAAGUCCUGUGUUAUAUUGGAAAUAAGAUAAGUUUAUCGGGCGAUUGUAGUGCAUUGGGUAUUAAGUCGGCGCACUGAUACCAGGUUUGAAUGUCCCAGAAGGAAUUAAAGGACCAGAAGUCCUGCAGACCAGAAGUUCUGCGUUAUAUCAUUGAGUAUUGAGGGGGUAGUAUUAUUUACGCAAACUAGAGACGUGAUUUUAGAUAAAAAUUGACCCUGAAUUUACAUGGUGAUUGAACCCGCCUUCUAUUAGAACAGUUCGAUAAAUAAAAUACGUUAAAAAUGACUAGUCAGGAGGUUGAUAAAGUACUGAAAACAUUGAAGUCAACAUUAGAAACUAAUGGAGGAAGAGAGGUGAGAAAAAAUGUAUAGAGAAUGGACUGAGGAGGGCAGCAUUGCCUCACAUAGCAGGCUCCCAGUCGACGGGGAGCCCGGAAGAAUACUAGACUGAAACGUAAAACAUAUAAAUCCAGUUCCGAGUGGAAACAAGAGGGAGAGAUACGGUUAGUUAGUGUUUAUGUAGGAUAUAAACUGAACGUUUAAUAGCUUGUUUAGGUUGAAUUGAAGGACUGAUCCAUUCUGGAUGGUAGCGAGGCGAUUUCGAUGUGAUGCGUUGUGUUGCCUAAAUGAUCUGCUGGAACAAUGUAUAGAGACUGGAGUCAUAUUUAAAUUACUGAACCAUGGAGGACGGUUGAUGACGGAGAGAUACGAUAAAGUUGUGCCCAUCGGAAUGUUAUUAUUCUUAUGGAUUGACUGACAUGCAAUAUAAAUUUAGCGAGGUACAUGGUGUUUUAAAAAGUUGGGAGUGGAGAAAGUUGAAAAGUUGAUUUUACUUUUACGAUAGUUUUGGUGCAAAACUCAUUUGGAGUAAGGGGUAUGUUUUUGCCUAGAGGCAGGAAUAAGAGUUAGUUUUGGUGUGGGCUACUAAUUUUCAGGGUAAGUUGCUAGAGGCAGGUUGAUUUGUUGUGUAAUAACGUAAAACUGCGUCAUUACGUGGGAUACACAAUAACGUUACUCAAAUGGAUUUGACCAUUGUUCAGGUACACUCUUUUCUGUACUUCUGGCAGUAUAAUUUUGAUUGAGAGAUGUUGAUUGAUGUUGUAAAUUCUAUUCAAGAUCCAACAUUUGUGAUAAAUUAAUUUUGGUUUAUCGAACUCGUACUACUGCCUGUUGCAGUUAGCCAACAAUGAUUUACAAUUCGUUGAAAGUUGCUGCGGCCUGAACACGGGCUGAGCGCUGGUUGUUGACAUCACUCACAAUGCACUUUUGCAACCAGGCAAUGAUGUUGUGACUGAGGGUGGGACAGAGAAAAUGGUUUGUGUCAUUUAGAGGGAAAAUGCGUGCAUUAUAGCUUUGAGCCACUUUUCACAAGUUGUUAAAAGUUCCAAAUAGAAUUUUAAAAGUAGCUGAAUAUCGUCAGGGUAGUCUAAAAAGAUGCUAAAACUAUCAACAAAAAUUGCUAGGUGGCCAUUACGGAUUGUUGGCGCUCACUGGGCUGUAUUUUGCUAUAAGAGAGGAAGGUCAGAAUAGUUGAAUCGUAAAAGUUUAUGAUAGCUCUUUAUUGAUUUUUAGUUUGAAUGUCUAGGUAACACCAGUGAAAUUUAACAGGAAGUUAAGGUAUAUUAACAUGCCGGUGGAGCUGAUUUAAUGUUAAAGGGACAGUUAUAAUUACUAGGUUUUGUUUGUAGUAAACGUUGGGUUUGAGGGGAUUUCCAUGUUUCCCAGAGACAAGAUAUCUUAAAAGGCUACACAAACAUAUGGAAUAUUAGAAGUUUUGUUUUCUGAGUUUUCAUAAAUACGUAAAUUUUUUAGAUAAAGGGUUCUUUAUUUUGUCUAAUAUAGUAAGGAACACUUCUUUAAAGUGGUGGUAUGGCUUGGGACUUCUGAGGUGGCUUUGUGGUCUGAUCAGCCACAUUGGAAAGCCAUUUGAAUGGAGAAUCUAAGGUCAUUGGCGUCUGAGUUAAGGUAAUAUGAUACAACAAGGUGGUGAAAUUAAUAUUAUGGAUAGUGGUGGAGGAUGAAAAGUCACUUGAGGGCGCCAUUGGUCAAUUUAUGGAGGUUUGAAGUGCCCACUUCUCUGUUCAUUGCACUAUGCUUGGCUGUGGAAUGGGUAUAAUGGCUUCAGGGGGUGAUGGAGGUCCAUGCCCGGGUUGGGUGCACCCUCUAUGCGGCCCCCUACCCCCCCACCCUUGAUUGUCCACAAGAGGGCGCCAUUGGACAUUUUAAGCGGAUUUUAAGCAUAUGGGCCUGGGAACACAAUGAUAAUUAGUUAGGAUACGUUAACAUGAGUCUACUUUUUUUUUUUUUUUUUAAGUAUUUAUGUUAAGCCAACAGGGCAGGAAAAAGAUGAACAUAGAAAAAUAGUGAUUUUAUAAGGCUAACCCAUGUUAUUGUUAGAUAAAAUACAGUGGACUCCUGAAUGAGAUAUUUCAUUAGUACAGAAAGCAUAUGAUAUGGUUAGCAUUCGUUUUGGCCUCAUUUGAUCAUAGUGUGAAUAGUAUAAAGUGGACGGGGAUAUAUGACAUCUGUGGUGAUUCAGGAUUAUUGAUAGGUUAAAUAAGGUUCGAUCCUGUGUAUCGAUCCUAACAUGUAUCGAUCCUAUCUCGAUCCUAUGUAAGGACUUUCAAAAUUGCCACCAUAGACAUGUUUUUUUUUUGUUUUUUUUGUAAUUCCAUGGGUUCAGAUAACAGUGAGACACUUAGUUAAUGUUUGGGACCAAGCUACAGACAGAUAAGGGAAAGGGCAGACAGAGGGGCCCUCCCCACACUGCUGAGACCUUGAAGGUUGGGAACAGAGAGAUAGGAGUGACACAGACUGGGUCACGGUUACUGAGGGGAGACAGAGGGAGUGAAAACUUAGUUGGUUUCAGGAACUAAGGGGCAGCACUGAUAACUUUUAAAGUAGAUAAGAUACUUGACAGAGAAUUGUUAGAUUUGCGCCAGUAUUGAUACGAGGGCGGAGCCAUGUAUCAAAAUGGGGAUGGAAUAGGGCACUUUGUGGUGUGGCCUAUUAGUUAAAUAUCCCUAGAGUUGGUUUACUAGGAUAAUAAUGGAGGACAUUCUAGCUAAUCAGAUAGAAUAAAUGAGAAAUUGUUUGUUAACCAAACCUGUAUGUCCAAGAUUUUAUGCACUACAGGUGAAUUACAGGAGAAGGGGAUUCAUGCAAUCCAGUCCAUGAGGAGAAUAGGUGGAAUGCAGCCCCGUUGGGAGGGGCCAGACCAAGUAUUCCUGGUGACAGCCUUUGCGGUGAGAAUAGCUGAAAGAACUACCUGGGUUCAUAUCGCACAUUGCAAGAGGGUAAGACACACUGACACUGCCGAACCAUCACAGAGUUAAGGAGAAGAACCGUAGCUAAUAAAGUUCGGGGGUCAACUCCUUAACGAAGAUUUCCCUGACCCCGCCCUCUCAUCACUGUGUACGUUCAUAGAAGUGGAAGUACUGUCUGGCCUCUGACUGCUGAUAUGUUCUCUGGGAGAGGGUGAGGCUUUACAGGACUGCUGGUCGUCCUGAGCUGUCUGAUUGGGAUACGAUGGGGAUGGUUGCCAUCACAGUGCUGCCAAAACCACCACCAGUUCCAACAGGCCAAGGCCGGGUUCAGCCGAACUCCUCCACCACUUCAAGACCGGGUUCCACAUCGUCACCUAAGCUCUCCAAUCCGGUACAGAUAAUAAAUGUAAAGGAUAUCUCAGAUAGCGACCAAUUGGGGACUGAAACUGGCUAUGAGGGUAGGGAUAAUAUGUGGUUAGCCUAUAUGAGGUAUACAGCCAAAACACUUAACAGAAAAGACUGUGUGAUCUGUGGACAUGCUAGACCUGUUCUGGCUACUCACCCAUUUGCCCUUAGCAGUGGGGAAGGUUGGAUGUGCAUAUUGGAACGUUUCUACCAUAAUAAGCCAAAUUCAACCCUGUGUAAAGCUCUGAGUCUUGUGUUCCCAGAAGUUCCUCCCCAGAAGGCACCAUGGGGAGUUGAGGCAUAUGGGGGAUAUUACAGCUGUAUCACUGGUACAGGUAUAGACUAUGGGAGGCUCUCUACUGCUGACUGCAUCACUAAUGUCACUAUUAAUGCCACCUGGCCCGUUGAAGGGCUGAACCAAACUAGAGGUGUUGCUGAUGUAUGGUGGAUGUGUGGACCUGCCAGGCGGUUGACCCCUAUUUUGAAAGGAGACUGGCAGGGCACAUGUGCUUUGGGCAGUCUGAUAACACCAUUGACUAUUAUUGAGGUUACAGCUAACCAACUCCUGGGAUCUGCACAUGACACAGAGGCUCGGGACCAACCCAGGAGACGGCAGAAACGUGACGCUCCUUGGUCCGAGGGUACAGAUAACAUCUACACCAACCUGUUGGGGUCCCAAUAGGGGUCCCCCACGAAUUCCAGGCAUUAAACAGGAAUGAUGGCCUGUGGCAUUUGUUGCCCAUUACUGGCCCAGCUAUUGUUGAUGCUAAGAAAACUGCCUGGAUCAAUUAUAUAUACUAUAAUCAACAACGAUUUGUUAACUACACCCACACCGCACUUAUGGGGAUGGCUGAACAAUUGGAUGCCACCUCUCGAACCGCUAAACAAAAUAGGCUAGGAAUAGACAUGAUUCUGGCCAACCAGCGAGGUGUUUGUAAAAUGUUUGGAGAACAAUGUUGCACGCUUAUCCCUAUCAAUACCAGUCCGGAUGGGAGCAUUUCAAAAGCUCUGAGAGGGUUGGAAAAGUUAUCUGUGGAGAUGAAGGGUUUUAAAGGUGUGGAGGAGGGGGCACUGUUCUCCUGGCUGGGUGGCUGGUUUGGUGAGUACACUGCAUUGAUGGUUACUGGAUUUCUGACCCUGAUAGUUGUAUUUCCUAUAUUAAUGUGCUGUGCUGUGCUGCAUGUAUUAUCCCCUGUUUGAGGAAAUAUUUUACAGAUGUUGCGCACGCUGCGGUUAUGAUGCCACUGCUUGAUCACGGGGGGGAUGCUGAGACUGCCUUGGCAGAGGAUGAUCCAUGGUUUGCUAUAUAAUUUUUUUUUUUAAAUGCUUAUUUUUAGUUUAAUUCAUUGCUUUUUGUUUCACAAUAUAUCCUUGUAAUCUUUUACCCUGUAUGUUGUCCUACCUUAUGUCAAGGUUUACAUUUCCUGGGUGGGUGUUAGCCAACCUAGUACCUGUUAGGUGUAGCACGGUGGACUAGAUGUUUUUUUAUUCUUUAUACAAUAAGGUGUGUUUCUUUUAAUCUUUGUAUUCUGAGUGUGACACCAGGGUGUCAAAAGGGGGAGUCGAAAUGCAGCUUAGCGUAUAUCAUUUGUUGAUUGGUGUAAUUGUUGAUUUAAAAAAUAUAUAUAUAAUAAUAAUUAAUUAAUAAUAAACGUUUGACUAUUUUCAUGAAAUACUAUUAACAUAUGACUAUACUGUGACCGCUGAAGUAAAGGAUAAUGAGUGACACCCUAGGGGUGUCUAAAGGGGGACUCCUAAAAAUCCCUAUGGUAUCUAAUAUGUUACUAGGGUAACGAGAACGUGUUCUGAAUGGUCAUUAAAGGUUUAAAGUUCCUGGGUUCAUCAACAACCUGGUAUGUAUGUAUCGAUCAUUGAACCUGAUGGUUUCUGUUUUAAUUUACACCACUUAGGGGUGUAAAAAGGGGGAAUUGUGAGGAUCUGUGUUUAUUGCACUAUAACCCAAUACUAUAUCACAUGUGAUAUAAUAUUAGCAACUGUUGGCCUGGGCGCCUGGGUGUCUGUGUGUGUGUGCUGAAAGUAACAUUUUGCCCCAGAUAGUGUGCUGAGAAGCUGUGGUUAACCUUGAGCGAGAACAGUAUGCUUUCUAUGCAGGUGCAAAUAGCUCAAACAAUGUUACAGAACUAUCUGAUCUCAGUCUCCAGGGUGUGAGAGCGUAAUCUACACAGCAACAGCGCCGGCCACCAAGGAGCGCCAAGAGGCUGGGACCAGCCUGAGAGCCGGCGAUAGGCUGAGCAAAGUUUAAACCACGCUCAGCCUCUACUGUGAUAGGCCAACAGACGGGUUGGAACUACGUCUAUCAUGGUAUAAGAACAGCUGUUUACUUACCUCCUGCCAGUUCCCUGUUCUACCCUGCGAGGUGUUACAGUGAACCCGUAUAUACGGAAAUUGCGUUUACCAUUUAUCGCUUGAGUUUAAUAAAAAUACUUAAAUUAUA
Long non-coding RNA from Salvelinus fontinalis (brook trout), 8667 nucleotides. RefSeq lists it as uncharacterized. The record is from RefSeq and is a predicted model, not a curated record. The transcript has 2 exons. NCBI's taxonomy places the organism in Eukaryota, Metazoa, Chordata, Actinopteri, Salmoniformes, Salmonidae.